RNAcentral lists this ribosomal RNA (255 nucleotides) under Salmonella enterica subsp. enterica serovar Derby. Its description in RNAcentral is "partial 16S ribosomal RNA". It matches the Rfam family "Bacterial small subunit ribosomal RNA", at positions 342 to 589 of the family's 1533-position model. The record is from RNAcentral. Lineage: Bacteria; Pseudomonadati; Pseudomonadota; Gammaproteobacteria; Enterobacterales; Enterobacteriaceae. RNAcentral also lists the same sequence under 1 other name.
CGGGAGGCAGCAGUGGGGAAUAUUGCACAAUGGGCGCAAGCCUGAUGCAGCCAUGCCGCGUGUAUGAAGAAGGCCUUCGGGUUGUAAAGUACUUUCAGCGGGGAGGAAGGUGUUGUGGUUAAUAACCGCAGCAAUUGACGUUACCCGCAGAAGAAGCACCGGCUAACUCCGUGCCAGCAGCCGCGGUAAUACGGAAGGUGCAAGCGUUAAUCGGAAUUACUGGGCGUAAAGCGCACGCAGGCGGUCUGUCAAGUC